Molecule: ribosomal RNA, 372 nt
Filed under: uncultured organism
Description: bacterial SSU rRNA
Rfam family: Bacterial small subunit ribosomal RNA
Source: RNAcentral
GGGGGGAGCAAGCGUUGUUCGGAUUUACUGGGCGUAAAGGGCGCGUAGGCGGCGCAACAAGUCACUUGUGAAAUCUCCGGGCUUAACCCGGAGCGGCCAAGUGAUACUGUCGUGCUAGAGUGCGGAAGGGGCUACUGGAAUUCUCGGUGUAGCGGUGAAAUGCGUAGAUAUCGAGAGGAACACCUGCGGCGAAGGCGGGUAGCUGGGCCGACACUGACGCUGAUGCGCGAAAGCCAGGGGAGCGAACGGGAUUAGAUACCCCGGUAGUCCUGGCCUUAAACGAUGGAUACUUGGUGUCCGGGGCUACAUAGUCCCCGGGUGCCGGCGCUAACGCAUUAAGUAUCCCGCCUGGGGAGUACGGUCGCAAGACUG